UACGGGGGGGGCAAGCGUUGUUCGGAAUUACUGGGCGUAAAGAGCGCGUAGGCGGCCUGCUAAGUCGGAUGUGAAAUCCCUCGGCUCAACCGAGGAACUGCAUCCGAUACUGGCGGGCUUGAAUCCGGGAGAGGGAUGUGGAAUUCCAGGUGUAGCGGUGAAAUGCGUAGAUAUCUGGAGGAACACCGGUGGCGAAGGCGGCAUCCUGGACCGGUAUUGACGCUGAGGCGCGAAAGCUAGGGGAGCAAACGGG
Molecule: ribosomal RNA, 253 nt
Filed under: uncultured bacterium
Lineage: Bacteria
Description: partial 16S ribosomal RNA
Rfam family: Bacterial small subunit ribosomal RNA
Source: RNAcentral